Corvus hawaiiensis (hawaiian crow) is the source of this 312-nucleotide long non-coding RNA. RefSeq lists it as uncharacterized. NCBI's taxonomy places the organism in Eukaryota, Metazoa, Chordata, Aves, Passeriformes, Corvidae. The transcript has 3 exons. The record is from RefSeq and is a predicted model, not a curated record.
UCCAAGCAGUCACACCCUUAGGUCAGAGGCAUGGCCGCUGCGAUGCCGAAACGUGCCUUUGUCCAGGAGGCAGGGAGCACGCGGAGGAAGAGGGACCCUGGCAACUGAGGCUGUGCAGCUCCUGCGCUGCCGAGGGCACCCACAGACACUGCUCCUCUUUGGGGAACAGCACCUACUCCUGGGAGUGCCACACCUGUGCUGGCACGGAGACUGGCUCCACUGGCAAACCAGAGCUUGUCAGCCCCAGCACUUCCAGCCAGGAAUUAUCAAUGCCCUCCCAGGGUGUGUUGCUCCUCAACAGCAGCUGCUUCC